ACCAUUUGAAACAAAUAUUUAUUUAAUGGUGUUAUAUACUGAUUAUGUGAAUGAAUAAUUUAUUUUUUAUACUCGUGUUUAUACUAUCUCAAUAUUUAGCCACUACCAUCAUCACUUGUGAUUCCAGAGACGGGGUGAAGAGAAACAAUGUGUAGCUACUGCCAUAAUCUAAAAUUCCCGAGGCAACACCUGAGAACAUAGAAAAAUGAAAACUACUAUACUUUUUAUCCUAUUAUGAAACAAUGAAAGUGACUAGACCAUUGCUCGUAUUACAUGAUGUCAUUAAUACUGAAAGAUGUGAAAGAAGAACUACCCGAGAGAUAGAAAGAGAUGAUUGUUACCAAAAUUGUGACAAAAAAAAAAAGAUUGUUACCAAACACUUUUAAAGUGCAAAUAAGUUGUUCGUUUUUAGUUCUU
This 417-nucleotide long non-coding RNA is filed under the name Brassica napus (rape). RNAcentral's name for it is "long non-coding RNA (BNAP_LNC008500)". Lineage: Eukaryota; Viridiplantae; Streptophyta; Magnoliopsida; Brassicales; Brassicaceae. The record is from RNAcentral.